UGGCUCAGAACGAACGCUGGCGGCAGGCCUAACACAUGCAAGUCGAACGGGACCUUCGGGUCUAGUGGCAGACGGGUGAGUAACGCGUGGGAAUCUACCCAUCUCUACGGAACAACUCCGGGAAACUGGAGCUAAUACCGUAUACGUCCUUCGGGAGAAAGAUUUAUCGGAGAUGGAUGAGCCCGCGUUGGAUUAGCUAGUUGGUGGGGUAAUGGCCUACCAAGGCGACGAUCCAUAGCUGGUCUGAGAGGAUGAUCAGCCACACUGGGACUGAGACACGGCCCAGACUCCUACGGGAGGCAGCAGUGGGGAAUAUUGGACAAUGGGCGCAAGCCUGAUCCAGCCAUGCCGCGUGAGUGAUGAAGGCCCUAGGGUUGUAAAGCUCUUUCAACGGUGAAGAUAAUGACGGUAACCGUAGAAGAAGCCCCGGCUAACUUCGUG
This 441-nucleotide ribosomal RNA is filed under the name uncultured bacterium. RNAcentral's name for it is "bacterial SSU rRNA". It matches the Rfam family "Bacterial small subunit ribosomal RNA", at positions 20 to 507 of the family's 1533-position model. The record is from RNAcentral.